Molecule: RNase P RNA, 346 nt
Filed under: human gut metagenome
Description: Bacterial RNase P class A
Rfam family: Bacterial RNase P class A
About the family: Ribonuclease P (RNase P) is a ubiquitous endoribonuclease, found in archaea, bacteria and eukarya as well as chloroplasts and mitochondria. Its best characterised activity is the generation of mature 5'-ends of tRNAs by cleaving the 5'-leader elements of precursor-tRNAs.
Source: RNAcentral
CGGGACGGGCAGCCGCGUGACUGAGCCGAAAGGCUCUUUUAUGAGGAAAGUCCGGGCUCCGCAGGGCAAGAAUAACGGGUAACGCCCGCCGAAGGCGACUUCAGGAAAAGUGCAACAGAGAGAUACCGCUCUGCGGCCUGUGCCGUGGAGUAAGGGUGGAAAGGCGAGGUAAGAGCUCACCCGCCGCAUGGGAACAUCGCGGCGCUGUAAACUCUAUUCGGAGCAACACCGUGGAGGAAACAUUGGCCGGCCCGGCCGUUUCCGGGGAGGUGGCUUGAGCGUGCCGGCAACGGUACGUCGAGAUAGAUGGCUGUCGAUUACAGAACCCGGCUUAUAGUCCCGAUCG